RNAcentral lists this ribosomal RNA (484 nucleotides) under uncultured bacterium. RNAcentral describes it as "partial 16S ribosomal RNA". It matches the Rfam family "Bacterial small subunit ribosomal RNA", at positions 30 to 507 of the family's 1533-position model. The record is from RNAcentral.
AUUGAACGCUGGCGGCAUGCCUAACACAUGCAAGUCGAGCGGCAGAAGGGAGGUUGCCCCCGGGUUCCGCGGCGCACGGGUGUGUAAUGUCUAUGAAUAUGCCUGGUAGUGGGGGAUAAAGUCCGGCGACGGGCGGUUAUAUAGCAUAUGUCCUGCGGGAGAAAAAGGGGGGGCCCCGCACCCCACGCUCUCAGAUGAGCCGAGGUCGGAUUAGCUAGUUGGUGGGGUAAAGGCCUACCAAGGCGACGAUCCGUAGCUGGUCUGAGAGGAUGAGCAGUCACACUGGAACUGAGACACGGUCCAGACUCCUACGGGAGGCAGCAGUGGGGAAUUUUGGACAAUGGGCGAAAGCCUGAUCCAGCCAUGCCGCGUGUGUGAAGAAGGUCUUCGGAUUGUAAAGCACUUUAGGUUGGAAAGAAGGGCAGGGAGUUAAUACCGUGCUGGGAUGACGUUACCGGAAGAAUAAGCACCGGCUAACUUCGUG